AUGAUGCAAGAGCAAUAUCAAAUGUUCAUGAUGGGCGAGCUAAAGUUCUUUCUGGGUCUUCAAAUCUGUCAGGAAAGCAACGGCAUCUACAUAUCACAAGAAAAAUAUCUCAAAGAUUGCCUGAAGAAGUUUGGAAUGCAAGAUUGCAAAGGAUACACGACGCCAAUGCCAACCAAAAGUCAUCUGGGUCCCGACGACAAUGGUAAAGAGUUCGAUCAAAAGGUAUAUCGCUCCAUGAUUGGUUCUUUGCUUUACUUAUGUGCAUCUAGGCCAGAUAUAAUGCUUAGUGUUUGCAUGUGUGCCUGA
RNAcentral lists this ribosomal RNA (306 nucleotides) under Triticum aestivum (bread wheat). Its description in RNAcentral is "partial small subunit ribosomal RNA". The record is from RNAcentral. Lineage: Eukaryota; Viridiplantae; Streptophyta; Magnoliopsida; Poales; Poaceae.